CAAAGAACAAACGGAGACUGGUGUAUGAUCAGGAUCCCACCAUAAGUUUUUCUCAUAAAUGGUCAACUGAAAAUUUCAAUUAUUCAUAAUCUUUGGACUACUUCAAAAAAUUUCAUGACGUACGUUGUUCUCACUCCAGUGUCCA
Molecule: non-coding RNA, 145 nt
Organism: Caenorhabditis elegans
Lineage: Eukaryota; Metazoa; Nematoda; Chromadorea; Rhabditida; Rhabditidae
Source: Ensembl